AUUGAACGCUGGCGGCAUGCCUUACACAUGCAAGUCGAACGGCAGCAUGGAGAGCUUGCUCUCUGAUGGCGAGUGGCGAACGGGUGAGUAAAGCAUCGGAACGUACCGUGUAGUGGGGGAUAACGUAGCGAAAGUUACGCUAAUACCGCAUACGCACUGAGGUGGAAAGCAGGGGAUCGUAAGACCUUGCGCUAUACGAGCGGCCGAUGUCAGAUUAGCUAGUUGGUAGGGUAAAGGCCUACCAAGGCGACGAUCUGUAGCGGGUCUGAGAGGAGGAUCCGCCACUCUGGGACUGAGACACGGCCCAGACUCCUACGGGAGGCAGCAGUGGGGAAUUUUGGACAAUGGGGGCAACCCUGAUCCAGCCAUGCCGCGUGAGUGAAGAAGGCCUUCGGGUUGUAAAGCUCUUUCGGCCGGGAAGAAAUCGCACAGGCUAAUACCCUGUGUGGAUGACGGUACCGGCAUAAGAAGCACCGGCUAACUACGUGCCAGCAGCCGCAGUAA
This 504-nucleotide ribosomal RNA is filed under the name uncultured bacterium. RNAcentral's name for it is "partial 16S ribosomal RNA". It matches the Rfam family "Bacterial small subunit ribosomal RNA", at positions 30 to 523 of the family's 1533-position model. The record is from RNAcentral.